This 417-nucleotide ribosomal RNA is filed under the name uncultured bacterium. RNAcentral describes it as "bacterial SSU rRNA". It matches the Rfam family "Bacterial small subunit ribosomal RNA", at positions 29 to 453 of the family's 1533-position model. The record is from RNAcentral.
AACGAACGCUGGCGGCGUGGAUAAGACAUGCAAGUCGAACGAGAGAAUUGCUAGCUUGCUAAUAAUUCUCUAGUGGCGCACGGGUGAGUAACACGUGAGUAACCUGCCCCCAAGAGUGGGAUAGCCCCGGGAAACUGGGAUUAAUACCGCAUAAAAUCGCAAGAUUAAAGCAGCAAUGCGCUUGGGGAUGGGCUCGCGUCCUAUUAGUUAGUUGGUGAGGUAACGGCUCACCAAGGCGAUGACGGGUAGCCGGUCUGAGAGGAUGUCCGGCCACACUGGAACUGAGACACGGUCCAGACACCUACGGGUGGCAGCAGUCGAGAAUCAUUCACAAUGGGGGAAACCCUGAUGGUGCGACGCCGCGUGGGGGAAUGAAGGUCUUCGGAUUGUAAACCCCUGUCAUGUGGGAGCAAAUAA